This 253-nucleotide ribosomal RNA is filed under the name uncultured bacterium. Its description in RNAcentral is "partial 16S ribosomal RNA". It matches the Rfam family "Bacterial small subunit ribosomal RNA", at positions 524 to 776 of the family's 1533-position model. The record is from RNAcentral.
UACGGAAGGGGCAAGCGUUGUUCGGAAUCAUUGGGCGUAAAGGGCGCGUAGGUGGUUCUGUAUGUCUACCGUGAAAGCGUACGGCUCAACUGUAUUUUGUCGGUGGAAACUGCAGGACUUGAGGCUGGGAGGGGCUGGUGGAAUUCCCUGUGUAGCGGUGAAAUGCGUAGAGAUGGGGGAGAACACUCGUGGCGAAGGCGGCCAGCUAGACCAGUUCUGACACUGAGGCGCGACAGCGUGGGGAGCAAACAGG